UACGUAGGUGGCAAGCGUUGUUCGGAAUUAUUGGGCGUAAAGGGCGCGUAGGCGGUUUGACAAGUCUGAUGUGAAAUCUCUGGGCUCAACCCAUAGCCUGCAUUAGAAACUGUCGGGCUUGAGUAUGGGAGAGGUGAGUGGAAUUUCCGGUGUAGCGGUGAAAUGCGUAGAUAUCGGAAGGAACACCUGUGGCGAAGGCGGCUCACUGGACCAUAACUGACGCUGAGGCGCGAAAGCUAGGGGAGCAAACAGG
RNAcentral lists this ribosomal RNA (253 nucleotides) under uncultured bacterium. RNAcentral describes it as "partial 16S ribosomal RNA". It matches the Rfam family "Bacterial small subunit ribosomal RNA", at positions 524 to 776 of the family's 1533-position model. The record is from RNAcentral.